UGAGGAAUUACAGGGCAACUCUCCUUAAGCAAAAAUGGAUGUGCUUUUCUUUGCAUAAUUCGAUUUUGCCAAAGGAGAUUUGCCCUGCCAUUCACUCA
Molecule: microRNA precursor, 98 nt
Filed under: Gossypium hirsutum (cotton)
Lineage: Eukaryota; Viridiplantae; Streptophyta; Magnoliopsida; Malvales; Malvaceae
Description: miR399d stem-loop (ghr-MIR399d)
Gene: ghr-MIR399d
Source: miRBase by way of RNAcentral